This is a long non-coding RNA of Gouania willdenowi (blunt-snouted clingfish), 1579 nucleotides long. Lineage: Eukaryota; Metazoa; Chordata; Actinopteri; Blenniiformes; Gobiesocidae. The record is from Ensembl.
GCCUGCCAUAACCUAAAGCAGGAGAAGGAAAAGAAGAAGAGCAUGAGUACAUUUUAGUUCUAGGUCGUUUGACGUUUGUGUAGUUGUGCGCAUAGACAUCCGGAGAGGACCCCUCUGAGGGGUAUUCCAUAAAGCGGGUUAUGUUCAAACUCUGAGUAUGUUUAGGCUCAAAUGAUGGAAACUCUGAGUAUCUCAGUCCAAAAAGCGAGGUAUGUUCUUCUCUGAGUAUGUUACCAUGUUGCCAUUGUCCGUAAACUAAACCUGGUCGCUGGCAGGUUUUAUCAAAGAAACCCUGGGUUUCUACCUGGCUCCGCCCACCUGAACACCGUUUCUUAACACUUUAAUAAACUUUAACACUUUUCUCUGAAACACAUUAGUAACAUCACACACCACAGACCUGCUGCCACGUCUCCUCAGACACAUUUUAUUCAUAUUAUUCACCGCUCGUCACGUCACUGAAGCAAUAAAGUGAUGAAGUGACCAAAAAGUGUGACUAAUUACGGGUGAUUUAAGCCACUAUAAUCACUAAAGACUGAACGCACCUUUAGAACAGGCUCAUAAUCCUCAAACACCAGCUUAUUUCACCAUUAGGGUGAAUAAAUCACUCUUCCGUUUGGUUGCCAUGGCAGUUUGAGUCAUCUCUGAUCCAUUGAUGAUGGCUUUUUAUCGCGCGUGCACGUAAGUAACCCAAGGUUUACAUACUCAGGGUUGAUUGACCCACUUCACACCAGUUUCUCAUCGCGGGGUAUGUUGACCCAGAGUUUAUGGAUAGACUCAGAGUUUGUUAACCCUCCUUUAUGGAAUACCUCUCUGCGGAGGGACACGUCAACAGCGCCGCCAUCUUGGACCGGUGAUGGUGGAGGCAGCGGUGCAUGGACUUUACGACUGAAAGAGGACAUCAAGGUGAAAGAGGCGGAGCCGCAACCUGAUCCUGGUCCAUGUGCUGCUGCAGAGACCAUAUUCUAACUUUCUAAAUCAAGCAGCAUCCAUAUAUGGUCUAUGAAACACACACACACACACACACACACACACACACACACACACACACACACAGCUGUACUGCUGAUUUCUCAUUAUGCUAACGAGCUUUUAAAAAGCUGUGUCACCGUCACUAAUCUGAUGAAUAUGCAUCACUGAGGGUGCCCCCCACAAGGCAGGGUGGAGGUCUCAGUGAGGGGGGGUGGGGGGUCUGCAGUCAGGAUAACUUAUCCACAGCCCCCCGAGACCUGCAUAAACAGAAAGCAGCCCUCACACGUUGACAGAGCUUCCAUUUCCUCCAAACCAACUCCUGACAUAUUCAGUCCCAACCUUUCAUUCCUUCACCAUGAAGCUUCCCCCGGGUCCACGACUUGGAGUGACAUGGAUGCUGACCCCCACCACUAUCCCACACCCCUCACUGCACAGCCUCACUUCGCCCCUGUCAUCCAUCCUCUCUCCUCCUUCCUUCUUCUCCUGAAGAAGAGCGAGUCCCUCCGGCUGCAGAUAACUUCCCGCAGGUAAACUUCUCCUUCUUAUUAUAUGUGCAUCACACAUUUUACUAUAUUAACUGUUUGGAAUCCUUUUGCAGUGUUUGAAUUGA